GCGAGUUACGAUCUGAUGCAAGGUUAAGCAGAAAAUGUGGAGCCGUAGCGAAAGCGAGUCUGAAUAGGGCGAAUGAGUAUUUGGUCGUAGACCCGAAACCAGGUGAUCUACCCUUGGUCAGGUUGAAGUUCAGGUAACACUGAAUGGAGGACCGAACCGACUUACGUUGAAAAGUGAGCGGAUGAACUGAGGGUAGCGGAGAAAUUCCAAUCGAACUUGGAGAUAGCUGGUUCUCUCCGAAAUAGCUUUAGGGCUAGCCUCAAGUGAUGAUUAUUGGAGGUAGAGCACUGUUUGGACGAGGGGCCCCUCUCGGGUUACCGAAUUCAGACAAACUCCGAAUGCCAAAUAAUUUAACUUGGGAGUCAGAAUGUGGGUGAUAAGGUCCAUAUUCGAAAGGGAAACAGCCCAGACCACCAGCUAAGGUCCCAAAAUAUAUGUUAAGUGGAAAAGGAUGUGGCGUUGCCCAGACAACUAGGAUGUUGGCUUAGAAGCAGCCAUCAUUUAAAGAGUGCGUAAUAGCUCACUAGUCGAGUGACACUGCGCCGAAAAUGUACCGGGGCUAAACAUAU
This 569-nucleotide ribosomal RNA is filed under the name Staphylococcus pseudintermedius. Its description in RNAcentral is "partial 23S ribosomal RNA". It matches the Rfam family "Bacterial large subunit ribosomal RNA", at positions 623 to 1191 of the family's 2925-position model. Lineage: Bacteria; Bacillati; Bacillota; Bacilli; Caryophanales; Staphylococcaceae. The record is from RNAcentral.